UCCCUGAUGGUCCAGCGGCCAAGACUCCAUGUUCCCAACGCAUGGAGCCCAGGUUCAAUCCCUGGUCAGGGAA
This 73-nucleotide transfer RNA is filed under the name Bos taurus (domestic cattle). It matches the Rfam family "tRNA". From Rfam's summary of the family: Transfer RNA (tRNA) molecules are approximately 80 nucleotides in length. Their secondary structure includes four short double-helical elements and three loops (D, anti-codon, and T loops). Further hydrogen bonds mediate the characteristic L-shaped molecular structure. tRNAs have two regions of fundamental functional importance: the anti-codon, which is responsible for specific mRNA codon recognition, and the 3' end, to which the tRNAs corresponding amino acid is attached (by aminoacyl-tRNA synthetases). tRNAs cope with the degeneracy of the genetic code in two manners: having more than one tRNA (with a specific anti-codon) for a particular amino acid; and 'wobble' base-pairing, i.e. permitting non-standard base-pairing at the 3rd anti-codon position. Lineage: Eukaryota; Metazoa; Chordata; Mammalia; Artiodactyla; Bovidae. RNAcentral also lists the same sequence under 1 other name. The record is from Rfam by way of RNAcentral.